CCUUACACGUGGUUUUUCAUAACGUGAUUUUUUUCAUGACAAAUUAAACUUAAUUAAUAAUUAGCUAUGUUUUCUGUAGCCAUUAGCCACAGUUAAAUAAUAAAGUGUAAACAAUGAAUAUUAUAGUUUUUCAAUUAUAUAAUUAUUAAAUGGUAUAAGACUUCAGAAAAAUAACACAGUACUCAAUUAUAUUGUAAUCUGUAACGAUAUAUCUUGCUAUCACAGAUUAUAAAAAAAAUAUAAUCCAUGCUAAUAUCCCAAAUUAUUAGUUUAAGUCAUAUUGAAAUGAGAUCAAUUAACUAUAUUACCAUGUGGUUUCAACACUUUGUAUCCGGUUGUGUGGUUAAAAUGAAAACAAUACACUUGCUUAAUCUGGCGAAAAAUAUGAUAAUAUCUAAAAAGAUAUUCUAUACACAUUCAAAAUAUAAUUCAUUAUAUUCAGUGAUUUAUUAUACAGUUUAUAUAAGUAAUGAAACAUGACAUUAAUAAAUCUGAUUUAAAUGCAAGAUGACAUCAAUAAAUAUUAUACUUGUAAUAGAUUUUAAACCGCUACACGAAGUUGAGUAUUAUUCCCCCUUUCCCUAUAUGGUAUCAUUUAUUUAAUUACCCUCAGUAAAGACUAACCUAAAUUUUUUACAUUUGGCUUAACCACAAUGGGGGUAUGUGGAACAAACCCCAACUUAACCUUUCACAGUUUAUAACGUACCUAUUUAUACCACCCCUGAAUUUCUUGAUCUUGGUCAGCGUAUUGUCAUGUACAUGUACUACUGUGUUUUAUAGUAAAUACUAAUAACUUAAUAUACAAUUGUUAGUAUAGCUCUCUUAUAACUAGUCACCAAAUAGUAUAAGUGGAAAAAAUGUAUUUGGCUUAUAGAUAAAGAAUAUAUUUUUAAAUUAUUACCUAUUUUUUUUUAUGGUACCUAAUUUAAAUUAAGUUUUCAUUUUUUUUUUUUUGGAUAAACAUGUAAAGUAUAUUAAAUUAUAUAGAUCUUAAAAACUUCCUAAAUUCCUAAAACAAUUAUUUUUUGUCCAUUAUGAAUGAUACAAUUGGCAAGUUAUGUGAUUACUUAGACACCAGAUGUGAAUGGGAGAUUUGUUGCACUUUCCAAAAUUAGUUGAUCAACUAAUUAUUUUUUUUUAAAUACAGUAUAGGUACCUAUGAAAGUUCAUCGCUUUAAAAUAAUUAAUCCUUCAACAUAUUGUAAAUAUAAUAAAAACAUUAUGAAAAUCACUAAUUAUUAUAAAUUUAAGUAUCAAUGAACAUAUGAAUUUUUCACUACCAAUAAAGUAAUUUAAUAAAUAAUAAAAAUUGCAAUCAUGAACUUAAUGCUGCUAACCAUUAUUAUAAAAUGUUUGAUUAAAUAUCAUUUAAAUCACUUAUGAUUAUAAUCUAAGUUACCAAUGAAAAAGUAAUGAAUAAAUGUAAUAAUAUUCGUCACUACCGAUGAGGUGAUUUAAUAUUUUUAACUUGAUGUUAUAAAAACAGAUACUAUUGAAAAUGUAAUUAAGUAUAUACAAUUUAAAUCACUUAUGAUUAUAAUCUAAGUUACCAAUGAAAAAGUAAUGAAUAAAUGUAAUAAUAUUCGUCACUACCGAUGAGGUGAUUUAAUAUUUUUAACUUGAUGUUAUAAAAACAGAUAUUAUUGAAAAUGUAAUUAAUUAUAUACAAUUUAAAUCACUUAUGAUUAUAAUCUAAGUUACCAAUGAAAAAGUAAUGAAUAAAUGUAAUAUUCGUCACUACCGAUGAGGUGAUUUAAUAUUUUUAACUUGAUGUUAUAAAAACAGAUAUUAUUGAAAAUGUAAUUAAUUAUAUACAAUUUAAAUCACUUAUGAUUAUAAUCUAAGUUACCAAUGAAAAAGUAAUGAAUAAAUGUAAUAUUCGUCACUACCGAUGAGGUGAUUUAAUAUUUUUAACUUGAUGUUAUAAAAACAGAUAUUAUUGAAAAUGUAAUUAAUUAUAUACAAUUUAAAUCACUUAUGAUUAUAAUCUAAGUUACCAAUGAAAAAGUAAUGAAUAAAUGUAAUAUUCGUCACUACCGAUGAGGUGAUUUAAUAUUUUUAACUUGAUGUUAUAAAAACAGAUAUUAUUGAAAAUGUAAUUAAUUAUAUACAAUUUAAAUCACUUAUGAUUAUAAUCUAAGUUACCAAUGAAAAAGUAAUGAAUAAAUGUAAUAUUCGUCACUACCGAUGAGGUGAUUUAAUAUUUUUAACUUGAUGUUAUAAAAACAGAUACUAUUGAAAAUGUAAUUAAUUAUAUACAAUUUAAAUCACUUAUGAUUAUAAUCUAAGUUACCAAUGAAAAAGUAAUGAAUAAAUGUAAUAUUCGUCACUACCAAUGAGGUGAUUUAAUACUUUGAAAAUAAGUUGUU
Molecule: long non-coding RNA, 2369 nt
Filed under: Rhopalosiphum maidis (corn leaf aphid)
Lineage: Eukaryota; Metazoa; Arthropoda; Insecta; Hemiptera; Aphididae
Description: uncharacterized LOC113554251
Source: RNAcentral